Macadamia integrifolia is the source of this 1197-nucleotide RNA transcript. It is a transcript of the gene named protein TIC 40, chloroplastic-like, with no coding region annotated. NCBI's taxonomy places the organism in Eukaryota, Viridiplantae, Streptophyta, Magnoliopsida, Proteales, Proteaceae. The transcript has 7 exons. The record is from RefSeq and is a predicted model, not a curated record.
UUGCUCUCAAGACUUGGGCGACUACUACGCCUAUGGCAUUUAAACCUCCAGAAGAAAGAGCAGAAGAGAGCUUUCGUAGCUUAUAAAUCUUCCUCUCUCUUCCUCUCUCUCUCUCUUCGUUUGCCUUUCCGUCUGCAACUAAGAAUGGAAAAUCUCUCUCUGUUUCCCUCAAAAUACCUCUUAUUAGGCUCUUUGCCAAACCCUAGUGGCCUCUCGAGCAGACGCUUCUUCGCCCUCCCCCAGCCAUCUGGAAAGAUAAGAGAAGGCACACCCAAAACCAGAAAUUUUGUUUCAGCUCUUGGUCAGAGCAGUUACGAUGGCUCAGCCCGAAGACUUCCCAAAAAGGUGUUGGAGAAACUAGGUGUGGGCAGCAGUGAAACAUCUUCAGUUUGCAUCAAUCCUCAGCCUUCUGUGCCACCCCCUCAUCUUCCAUAGGAUCUCCUCUCUUCUGGAUCGGAGUAGGCAUCGAACUCUUUGCUUUAUUUUCAUGGGUGGCAACAUACUUAAAGGUGAGUGUGAUUAUUUCUUUAACCUUGUUGCGAGGUACGCCCGUGUCUUGACCAAAUUGGUCUUACACCUGAAGAAGUCAUUUCAAAAAUUAUGGCCAACCCUGAAGUUGCUAUGGCGUUUCAAAAUCCAGGAGUGCAAGCUGCCAUCAUGGAUUGUUCACAGAAUCCUCUGAGUGUAGCUAAAUAUCAAAAUGAAAAGGAGGUUAAGGAUGUUUUCAACAAAAUAGCAGAACUCUUCCCUGGGGCGACAGGUUCAUCUUGAUUUCCCCAGUUCUUCCAGACCAAGUAUUCCUGCCCUACUUCCGCAUUUCCAUGUGCCGAGGUGCAUUUUUCUCUCAUGACACCAGGUGUUAAAAGAAAUGUGCACAUUUCAUAUUGUUUCUGGAUGUUCUGAUGAAGGUGGCUUCUUCAUUUGCUGAUCCUCCUUGGUUUCUAAAUUGUAUUUAUGCACCAAGUCUUGGUUGUGCAGUUGAAUGCACUACCUGGUAGCAGUGCUAAAGGUGUCCUGUGUAUCUCAUUUGAAAAUCAAACAGAUGCAUCCAUCUUACUGUCUUAGGCUGUACUAUAGUCUAUGCUUCAAGUUUUUCUGUGAUUGUGAUAGCACAAGUUUUUCUGAUUUCUGUUUGCAUUCGACAAUCCAUGUGAACAGCCAUUUGUUUGUAUUACAAAUCCUUCUGUUAAAAGUUCA